UCGCAGGUGUUCCUCAUAACGGGCAUUAGUGAGCAGCCUUCGUACCUUCUAGGUAGUUUUGCCUUCCUAACGUAUAAUAUAAACGGUACUGUGGAGGUGGAAAAAUAAUGACUGGGGUUUAAUGUUUAAAAAUGGAUGUUUGAUAAGCUUGUAAAAAGAUCCACAGAUCUGGGGCUGAACACAUAAAAGCUAAAGGAUCCUGGGGUUGAAGACCUCAAAGUGGUGUGGAAGAUGGAUAACUGGAGGAGGUCCUUGCAUACAUUGUGUCCUUAUUGCAACAGAUGAAGUGAUCACUCACUGAGAGGAACUGCAUCGCACAUUCUGGAUCCUAUCUACAAUACAUCUGGGAAGCCCUACAGACCGAGUCAUUGCCUGGUUAUGGACAAAUAUUCAGGACGGGUCUUUUGACUUAAUUCUGAAAGAGUGCACUCUAGUGUUAUGCAACUGGCAAUUUGAAGAAAACAGUUGAUGGAAAUGAAUAACUGCAGAUGUAAUUUCAGAAAAUAUUACACUGGCUGAUCAUCUUGAGGGGUGCUGGGAAUAUCUAGUAGGAAAUGUUUGCUAGUGGGAAUAUCUAGUAGGAAAUGUUUGCUACAAAUUUUCAGCAGUCAUGGCUGUGAAAUGCUAAUGGUCUAUAUUCACAUAAUUACAUGAAGGGUACAGUAGCAAGUUUCAUGAAUACUGUUGCUGUUAAACUUCACAUGCAUAAGAUUAAAAAGUGUUUUUAAUUCAGUAAAUGACUAAGUUGGGAAUUGCAUUGCAGGUCCAAUACAGUGACACAGCAGUCCAUUCUAUGAUGCAUUCCAUACAAAAAUAUUGAUCCUUCAGUCAUAGUAAUGAAAACCUUUUUGUUAUUCUUG
Protopterus annectens (West African lungfish) is the source of this 860-nucleotide long non-coding RNA. RefSeq lists it as uncharacterized. The transcript has 3 exons. NCBI's taxonomy places the organism in Eukaryota, Metazoa, Chordata, Ceratodontiformes, Protopteridae. The record is from RefSeq and is a predicted model, not a curated record.